CCUACGGGAGGCAGCAGUGAGGAAUAUUGGUCAAUGGGCGAGAGCCUGAACCAGCCAAGUCGCGUGAGGGAGUACUGCCCUAUGGGUUGUAAACCUCUUUUGUCGGGGAGCAAAAGCCGGACGUGUCCGGCUGUGAGAGUACCCGAAGAAAAAGCAUCGGCUAACUCCGUGCCAGCAGCCGCGGUAAUACGGAGGAUGCGAGCGUUAUCCGGAUUUAUUGGGUUUAAAGGGUGCGCAGGCGGAUUUUUAAGUCAGCGGUAAAAUCGUGGGGCUCAACCCCAUCCAGCCGUUGAAACUGGGGAUCUAGAGUGUGCGAGAGGUAUGCGGAAUGCGUGGUGUAGCGGUGAAAUGCAUAGAGAUCACGCAGAACCCUGAUUGCGAAGGCAGCAUACCGGUGCACAACUGACGCUCAGGCACGAAAGCGUGGGUAUCGAACAGGAUUAGAUACCCCAGUAGUC
RNAcentral lists this ribosomal RNA (458 nucleotides) under uncultured bacterium. RNAcentral's name for it is "partial 16S ribosomal RNA". It matches the Rfam family "Bacterial small subunit ribosomal RNA", at positions 338 to 795 of the family's 1533-position model. The record is from RNAcentral.